UGGGGAAUAUUGGACAAUGGGCGAAAGCCUGAUCCAGCCAUGCCGCGUGUGUGAAGAAGGUCUUCGGAUUGUAAAGCACUUUAAGUUGGGAGGAAGGGCAGUAAGCGAAUACCUUGCUGUUUUGACGUUACCGACAGAAUAAGCACCGGCUAACUCUGUGCCAGCAGCCGCGGUAAUACAGAGGGUGCAAGCGUUAAUCGGAAUUACUGGGCGUAAAGCGCGCGUAGGUGGUUCGUUAAGUUGAAUGUGAAAGCCCCGGGCUCAACCUGGGAACUGCAUCCCAAACUGGCGAGCUAGAGUAGGGCAGAGGGUGGUGGACUUUCCUGUGUAGCGGUGAACUGCGUAGGUAUAGGAAGGAACACCAGUGGCGAAGGCGACCACCUGGGCUCAUACUGACACUGAGGUGCGAAAGCGUGGGGAGCAAACAGG
RNAcentral lists this ribosomal RNA (429 nucleotides) under Pseudomonadota bacterium. RNAcentral describes it as "Proteobacteria bacterium partial 16S ribosomal RNA". It matches the Rfam family "Bacterial small subunit ribosomal RNA", at positions 355 to 776 of the family's 1533-position model. Lineage: Bacteria; Pseudomonadati; Pseudomonadota. The record is from RNAcentral.